Molecule: ribosomal RNA, 691 nt
Filed under: uncultured bacterium
Lineage: Bacteria
Description: bacterial SSU rRNA
Rfam family: Bacterial small subunit ribosomal RNA
Source: RNAcentral
AAUACGGCAUAAUGCAUCGACGGGACAUCCUGUUGGUGCCAAAGGUUGAUUCCGGUGGCGGAUGGGCAUGCGUCGCAUUAGUUAGUUGGCGGUGUAACGGACCACCAAGACGACGAUGCGUAGGGGUUCUGAGAGGAAGGUCCCCCACACUGGUACUGAGACACGGACCAGACUCCUACGGGAGGCAGCAGUGAGGAAUAUUGGUCAAUGGGCGGGAGCCUGAACCAGCCAAGUCGCGUGAGGGAUGACGGCCCUAUGGGUUGUAAACCUCUUUUGCCGGGGAGCAAAGUGCCGCACGUGUGCGGUUUGGAGAGUACCCGGAGAAAAAGCAUCGGCUAACUCCGUGCCAGCAGCCGCGGUAAUACGGAGGAUGCGAGCGUUAUCCGGAUUUAUUGGGUUUAAAGGGUGCGUAGGCGGACGCUUAAGUCAGCGGUAAAAUUGCGGGGCUCAACCUCGUCGAGCCGUUGAAACUGGGUGCCUUGAGUGGGCGAGAAGUACGCGGAAUGCGUGGUGUAGCGGUGAAAUGCAUAGAUAUCACGCAGAACUCCGAUUGCGAAGGCAGCGUACCGGCGCCCAACUGACGCUGAAGCACGAAGGCGUGGGUAUCGAACAGGAUUAGAUACCCUGGUAGUCCACGCAGUAAACGAUGAAUGCUAGUUGUCCGGGGCGAUUGAGUUCUGGGUGACACAGC